CGCAUAUUGCGCCCCUUGGUAUUCCGGGGGGCAUGCCUGUUCGAGCGUCAUUAUCACCCCUCAAGCCCGGCUUGUUGUUGGAUGCCGGCGGAUGCCUCUGCGCCCCGCCCGUCUCAAAGAUAAUGACGGCGUCUGUGAGGACUCCUGUACACUGAGCUUUCGGGCACGUACUAGGUCAGCUCUCCAGGCCCGGUCUUUUACGUCGCUUCGGCGACGAACUUUUCUAAGGUUGACCUCGGAUCAGGUAGGAAUACCCGCUGAACUUAA
RNAcentral lists this unclassified non-coding RNA (267 nucleotides) under Chaetothyriales sp. RNAcentral describes it as "partial contains 5.8S ribosomal RNA, internal transcribed spacer 2, and large subunit ribosomal RNA". Lineage: Eukaryota; Fungi; Ascomycota; Eurotiomycetes; Chaetothyriales. The record is from RNAcentral.